Molecule: long non-coding RNA, 2807 nt
Organism: Pectinophora gossypiella (pink bollworm)
Lineage: Eukaryota; Metazoa; Arthropoda; Insecta; Lepidoptera; Gelechiidae
Exons: 2
Source: RefSeq, a predicted model, not a curated record
GUUAUUACGGUGAGUCGUUUUCAUACUGGAACCUUAUUGUUAUUGACUUUAUUGCUGGGUGAAUUUCCGUUUCAAAUAAUGAGAAAAUUGCUAUUUUUUAAAACCAAAUUGCCGAGACAUAUUGUGUCAAUCCGUGUCAAUCAUACCGCGUUUUCCAAUCUGUUUUCAUCAUCGUCAAAUCUUUGUAUUUUGGUCUAAAAAUAUUUCGAAUCAGUUUAGACACGCUUAACCUGCGUGGUUAAAGUUGUAUUUUCUCACUCCAAGCAAAAAGAAAUUAAUCAUGACAUGAUAAUUGAGUCUCGUUAAAUAACGUGUUUUGUAAUCUACCGUCAUUCAUCAAAUGUUUCAAUAUUCAAUAUUCUUUAUUUGUAAUCUUUUUAAACCAAUUGAAAGAAAGUCAUGUGAAUACGAUAAUACAGUGAAUUAUUUUGUUUCAUGUCAUAACUUGCACGUGGUUCGGCAAUUGGUGGAUUGCAAGCGGAGAUGAAAAUGGCGCGGCCUGAGCUGUAGCCGUGCAAAGUGACGGCAUUAUGGCAGCACGUUGUAUACCAGCUGGACUUGCUGCGCUGUUGAAGACCUAAACCAUGUCACAAGACCAGUGGUUGAUCUUUUAUCGGAAAUUCUUAUAAGUCCCGGUGAGUCGUAUCUGUUUUACCUGAUUUGAAAUAUGGGAAGUUGUAAUAGGAUACAAACGAAUAUAGUACAGAAAGUUAUCUUUUGUUAACUUUAGUUAAAUUGGGAAUCGUAAUGAAGUGAAGUAAACAUUCUGAAGUAAAAUGAUUUGGAUUAUGAUUAAAUGAAAUAGGCUUAGAAAAUGCCCGAAACAGUAAAUCAUUAGUGAGAAAAUUGGAGCAAAACAUUCUAAAUAAUGAUAAUACCGAAUUGGUAAUUGUUUAAGUGCGGUAAUAUUUCCUCGAGGUGUUGGUCGCUACAUUGCGACUUUAUGACUUGUGUGUGUGAGAGCAGGGUGCUCUGUCGUUUUGUGGUCGUGGACCAUGGUGGCCAUCCCGGGAGGGGAUGUUGUGACUCAUGACUGUUUUGUAGCGUAACCGCAGUUUGGGGAGGAAUAUUACAGCCUGUUGUGCUUUGCAGUAGAUGUGUAAUGUUGGUUGAUUUAAUUGAGCAAUGAAAGCUAUGAUUGACCUGUUUCGGAGCAACUCUGAUAGGAAGCUGCGCACUUGUAGUGUUCGGGGCUGCAGCCACUUUUGUGCUGCUCGUCUUAGAAACUACAGGUAUGCGGUCGAGGCCUGGAUGUCAUGUUGACUUUGUAUUUGGUCAUGACAGUGUACCUGAAUCUAAGUCAAGUUGACCUCCGGUAGAAUUAGUCGAACUGCACAAAUUAGAAAUUAGUGAUAUAAAAGAAAUUUGUAACCCAUGGACCACUAUUCUACCAACUAAAAUGUAAAGUUUGUGUGCUAGCUGUGUUGAGAUAUCGUCACUUGGUGCAAGUGGCAUGAGUUGCUGUCGCUCGAUUUAGUUGGCAGUGACGACUGUGUUGAGAUAUCGUCACUUGGUGUAAGUGGCAUGAGUUGCUACCGCUCGAUUUAGGUGGUAGUGACGCCUGGUUGUGAGAUAUCGUCACUCAGUAGAGUGGCAUGAGUUACUAUCGCUCGUUUAGGUGAUAGUAACGACAGACGUGUAAAGAGUAAUUGGAUUUUCAAGUUUGGUUGUUUAUAGUGUGUGAAUACUGGUCAAUGGUCUAUGUAUUGUAAGUUGAUGAUUUAUCAUGAUGUAAUGUGAGCUCAUGUAGAGUCACGAGUAGAGCUCAUGUAGAGUCACGAGUAGAGCUCAUGUAGAGUCACGAGUAGAGCUCAUGUAGAGUCACGAGUAGAGCUCAUGUAGAGUCACGAGUAGAGCUCAUGUAGAGUCACGAGUAGAGCUCAUGUAGAGUCACGAGUAGAGCUCAUGUAGAGUCACGAGUAAAGCCCAUGUAGUCCCAAGUAGAGCUCGUGCAGAGUCACAAGUAGAGCUCGUGCAGAGUCACAAGUAGAGCUCGUGUAGAGUCACAAGUAGAGCUCGUGUAGAGUCACAAGUAGAGCUCGUGUAGAGUCACAAGUAGAGCUCGUGUAGAGUCACAAGUAGAGCUCGUGUAGAGUCACAAGUAGAGCUCGUGUAGAGUCACAAGUAGAGCUCAUGCAGAGUCCUUUAUAGAGUCUCAUGUUAGGUCAGGAAUGACCGAGCGAACUUGGAUACUGUGCUGUGGUAUAUUGUUUCAGAUUAACACACGAGGACGUGUGUCACGCAGGAUGGCCGUGUCGGAGUUAGUUAUGAAUUAAGAAGAGAAAUUGAUCAAAUCGGAAAAUACAAUGAAGUUGCAACACUUCCAUCAUGAAGUUGCAACGCUCCGACGUCAGGUGGCGUACGAGCAGAGCUGCGUGAAGUCGAGGGAGUCACUACAGAGUCGUCGUGUCGAGCGGACGUGCACUGCCGUUCUAGUCGGGCAGUCUACCGCGAACCAUCGUCUUGAGCGGACGUGUCGAAUAAUUACGAUCGGAACGUGGAGUGCUAUAGUCGCUCACCUAUAACUUGUAGGGACGUUAAGAAAGUGUGAUCGGAAAAGAGUACCUAGCAAGUACGUUCACAUGUCCCGAUGAUUCGGUCCGAAUAUAGGAACCAUGGGUGGUGGAGGGCAAGUAGAGGGCGAGUAGCCCCUUCGCGCUAACGUCCUUAUGCGCGCUAGAUUACGAGAAACUGUGUAACCGUUACGAAUACCGUGACGUUGCCGUGAGUGUGUACCUUAUGCUGUGACUUUAUUUAAUCGUGAUACAAAAACUAUGUGGAAGUAAAUAAAAUGAUUGUGAUACUGA